Beta vulgaris subsp. vulgaris (sugar beet) is the source of this 1343-nucleotide RNA transcript. It is a transcript of the gene named probable glutathione peroxidase 2, with no coding region annotated. Lineage: Eukaryota; Viridiplantae; Streptophyta; Magnoliopsida; Caryophyllales; Amaranthaceae. The record is from RefSeq and is a predicted model, not a curated record. The transcript has 7 exons.
UAAUUUGGGGUGGGAGGGAGGACUUCAAUGUGCCGCAGACGUGCACAACUUCCCUCCAAUGUCUGACCAUCUCCAAAGAUUAAAACUUGGCUUCAUGGCAUUUUCCAGCACGCUAUUCUGCUGUUUCCAUUUGAGGAGAGAGAAAGAAGACACUUUUCAGGCGCAACAGUGAUGACUAUGAGUUUAAGGAAAUUAACAUAUUGUGUCUCUAUUCUCUUUGUGGGUUUAUCUGUUUUCUUAUUUUACAUCUACCCAUCUCCAUCUUUUCAACAAACAUCUCAAGAAUUACCCAAAUCCAUAUACGAUUUCACUGUUAAGGAUAUCAAUGGUAAAGAUGUGAGUUUUAGAAAUUUCAAGGGGAAGGUACUUUUGAUUGUCAAUGUCGCUUCUCAAUGUGGUCUAACAAAGUCAAACUAUCAGGAAUUGAACAUUUUGUACGAGAAGUAUAAGCCCCAAGGUUUUGAAGUUUUAGCCUUCCCAUGUAACCAAUUUGGAUGGCAAGAACCAGGAAGUAAUGAAGAAAUCAAUGAAGUUGUCUGCUCUACAUUUAAAGCUGAAUUCCCUUUAUUUCAGAAGAUCGAAGUCAAUGGUAAGAAUGCAGCACCACUAUACAAGUUUCUGAAAGCAAAGAAGUCCGGAGUACUAGUAGAUGAGAUCAAAUGGAACUUUGCAAAGUUUUUGGUGGACAGACAAGGAAUUGUUGUUGAGCGAUAUGCUCCUGUGACCUCCCCCUUACAAAUCGAGCGUGAUAUUCAAAACCUCUUGGGAUCAUCUUAGUUUCUGACUUCUGAUCCUCUGGCGUGCAUCAUCCGAGACUUGCUUAAUAUUCAGAUAACUAAGGAAUGGCUCUAACCCUACAAAUGGUCUUUUAGUAGGUAGCGCAUUUCUACAAGUCUUCAAUCCAAUCAUCAUCCUUCUCGGUUCCUCUUGACUCAUAAGCAUUAAACUUAGAGGUGAUCACGGGUCGGGCUAGGUCAGGCCAAAAUUUUGUACCCAAAACCUGCAAAAUUGGGUUUGGCCAAAAAUUAGGCUGGAAAGUCAUUUUUGGCUUACCCAAGCCCGACCCAAAGAAAAAAUCGGGUUGGGCCCAACCGUGGGCCAAAAAAUUUUCCCCGAAAUUUGAGACGGAUUGACUUGAUCAGCUCUAAUUGAACGGAAGUGGAAAUAAUUGAACAUUCUUACCAGUAUAGCCUUUUAAUCAUGAACAAUUAUUAUACAAUUACUAAGAGGCACUGUUAUCAACCUCAUAUAACAUAUUGUUACUUGUGAACAUUUGUUUACCAUAUUUUCCUACGAACAUUAAUGUUCCAAAUUAUAUAAAAUAAAUCCAGUAUUGUUUAUUA